GAACUAAAAUUGUCAUCGGUCCUUUCACAUACCUAUGGUUGUUGAUCUUUAGAACAGGUGACACAAAAAAAAAUUAGUUAAAAGAGCUUGGAUUUUCUUUCUCUUUACUCAACUGAACCUCCACAUCUGAGCUUAGAAAGGUCAGAAUAUUGGUAUUAUCUGUAUAAUAGCUGUAAUAAUUAUCUAUAUGAUUAUCUACAGUAAAUAAUUGAAUGCUGACUUCAUCUUAGUAAAAAUGCCCAAGAAGCUCACGGUUGGGAUGGGGUUUACUAAGUGCUACACGGUGUAUGACCACAGAGAUUCCACUUCGACGGAAAUUUGUCACUUAAGAGAUGAAAACAAGAGUCUGUGGAAUGAUAAGUCUUCAUUUUGGGUGGAUCUCAACAACUCCUGUUGCCUAUGCCUCCUGGGAACAUAUGCAACGUCUUUGCAGAAAGGGAAUAUCCUUAGUCAUAGCUACCAGGGAUUCUGAUAUUACUUUGUAGGGUUAGAAAACCUUUAUAUUUUUCAGUAUUUUUUUAAUUGAGGUUUUUCUAAUUGUAUCAGGCUUUCAAUUUAAGCAAGGCCAAGAGCUGGAUUCUUCUCCCAUACUUAACCCAUCUCUGAUUGUAUGAUUUCUGAUAUGAAGCAAUACUGUGCUCAAAUCUUUUGUGUGUUUCCACAGCAAAGUAGUAACUCUGUCUUGGAAGAACUGCAGUUGGCUGUGCUGAAGCUGAAAUGCCUCUGGAGUGUGUGGCUAUGUAAUAACAGCUAGAGCCUUGCACGCUGGAGGAGCUUGCUGCUAGUCUUGGAGAGUGGGCAUGCUGCUGGGAGGAAACUGAUAAACAUAUUUCUGUCUUUAUCCUCCCGUUGUCACAUAAUUGGCUUCUGAUUAACUACAGGGCAACUCAAAAUCAAGGAAAAUGGAAAGACGUCAGGGUGAAAAAACUGGAUGAAGUUCAUGAUCACUAGGAAGAACAGCACCAUUUCCAAUGACAUGCCUUUUACUACACGAGUCUCUUUUACAAGAAGGAAGUUAAGGUAAAGAAGAAAAUGAUCAAAGUCACUCAGAAUGCCUUCUCCUUGACUGAGGCAGUUGGUCCAUGGCUUCACUUCUUCCCUCUAACACCUUUCAGGCCAUGUCAUUUGCUUCCUCCGUUGUGUCAGUUCUGGUGCUCAGUGAACCUCCUGCCAAACUAGAUUGACCCACUAAAGCAGCAGAAAAGUCUUUGUUUUUUUCCAGGUAGUUAAUGUGCAUUGCAAAAGUUACACUGGCUUGUGGAGAAAUGUGAAGAGCAGCAAACAUAUAACCUGACACAUCAAGCCAACAGGCAGUGUACAGCUGGUGAAAGCAAGCUUUUAUGGUAGUUCACCAAGUUUUGUGGAAAUGCUAUAUCAACAGUGCUGAUACCAGAACAUGGGAUAGAAUAGCAGAUGUUCUCAGACUUCACUGGUGUGGUUGUCACCAUCAAUGGUUCUUUAUUCAGUGUUCUGCUGUACUUCUUGCAUGACCUCACUUGCAUCCAGGACCCAAAGACAUUAUCACCCUAUUUUCUUACUGCUUGCCUCAUGCCAAGCAAAAAGAGGUCCAGCCACUGCCAUCCCCAACCUGCUCCACCUCAUAAGGAGAUCUCACAACUUUUUGGCCCCUGUACCACAUCUGACCUCAUGUCUAUGUGGUGAGCCAGAGCAGGUUAUAGUAGAAGCACCUGUACCUUAAGAAGAGCAGGCUUGGGUGCUGCUGAAGAUCCUUGGUGGCUAUGGGCAGGGGCAUCUGCCUUCCAACUUGGAUUUAGAUGCUUCUAAGGUCAACGGAAACUGCUACUCCAUGCCAUAUCGAAGUGGUUCUAUACGCCUUUGGUGGUAUGAGGACCAUUGCAUGUAAACCUUGGCAACAAAGUUUUUUGUUGUCUGAGGAAGAAUUAGAAAGGUCCUGUCUUUGUUCAGGGAUAAAAGAAAUAUGCUCUACUAAGUAUAUGCUCAAUUAAAUAUCCCAUUACACUGAUUGACAGAAGUAAAUGGAGAGAGCAAACAAAUACAAUAUCAAUCUUAUGGAAAAUAAGAAUAUAUUAUUUUGAGAAAUGUGUGUAUGGUAAUUAUAUAUCUACAAAAAGCCUAAACUUUAUUUGGAAUUUUCUUUCUUUCUUUCUCACUUCGUUUCUCUCUCUCUCUUUUUCUUUUAUUUCUCUCUCUAUUUCUUCCUAAGUAAUCAAUUCGACAUUUUCGUUGUGUAUUCCAUCUGGGCAUGGAUAAAGCCAGUGGCUUCUCUCUGAAUUUUGU
Molecule: long non-coding RNA, 2259 nt
Organism: Gallus gallus (chicken)
Lineage: Eukaryota; Metazoa; Chordata; Aves; Galliformes; Phasianidae
Source: Ensembl